Molecule: ribosomal RNA, 209 nt
Filed under: uncultured Veillonellaceae bacterium
Lineage: Bacteria; Bacillati; Bacillota; Negativicutes; Veillonellales; Veillonellaceae
Description: partial 16S ribosomal RNA
Rfam family: Bacterial small subunit ribosomal RNA
Source: RNAcentral
AGCGCAGGUGGGCUGUCAAGUCUGUCUUAAAAGUGCGGGGCUUAACCCCGUCGAUGGGAGUAGAAACUAGGCAGUCUUGAGUGCAGGAGAGGAAAGCGGAAUUCCUAGUGUAGCGGUGAAAUGCGUAGAUAUUAGGAGGAACACCAGUGGCGAAGGCGGCUUUCUGGACUGUAACUGACACUGAGGCUCGAAAGCCAGGGGAGCGAACG